AUGAAUAAUUAAAUAAAAUCUUAAAAAAAAAUAAAGACUAUAUAUUUUUGAAAAUGUGUGAUUAAGGAACAUGUGUGCUGAUUUCUGGAAUAUACAUUGCCCCACUAUUAAAGGAAAUGUUUUGUUUGCUCUAACAUCUCCCCUUUUAUGCUUAUGAGGGGAACAGAAAUGUCAAAUGAAGUACUACAGGGAAAACUGUCCAUUCGGUUCAGGAGGAACUGAGGCAAAUGUACUCCGUCUUCCAGCUAAGAUGUCCACAAGCUCGCAUAGAGGAUCAAAGACAGGAGAUUCCUGUAACAGAGAGAAAAUGCAGACACAUGUUCCAGGUUAUCAAGAUUUUGCACCAACAAACCAAAAACAUGCAUCCAGCCUGGUGACUCAGUUGAUUGAUGCGUCUGCUCUAUGCCGAUCUAUUCCAAAUACCAUGAAGAAAUAAAAAGGAAAUUAAAAAGUAAAUAAAAAUUCUGACCAAAACA
Molecule: long non-coding RNA, 476 nt
Filed under: Vulpes vulpes (red fox)
Lineage: Eukaryota; Metazoa; Chordata; Mammalia; Carnivora; Canidae
Description: lncRNA (ENSVVUG00000026256.1)
Source: RNAcentral